UUGUCGAUAAUUUGAUACCAUUUAGUAUUUCUCUGUAGAUCUUGUAGCAUAAUUUGAACUAAACCAAAUUUAUGUUCCUAUUUCAGAUGAUACAGCUUGUAAAAGCCACAUAUAGAAUAUAUUGUACUUCAGCAUUUUGCUUUGCUGUAAGUUUUCUGCCUUUAUAAGGUGGUUGAUAAUACUUUGAUGUUUCAAACUUUUCUCCCUUCCUAAAUGUGUGCCAGCUGUGACAUGCAGAUAGUAAAAGAAGGUUCAUUUGUGAGAAACACUAAUGGAUCUGUCUUUUUCAGGUUUGUUCUCUACAUCUAGUAGCACCAAUGAAAGAAGAGGUUUAGGGCCUUCCAGGGAAUGCAGCAGGCAGAAGUGGGUGGCAAAAUAGAGGACCUACAAUAAAGAAAACAUGAGGUGCUGCCAUGAUAACAAAAAGCUCCAUUACUUUCUCAGACUUGGGCACACAAACAGGAUGCUGCAUGAGAACGGUGGAAUGGAUUCAAGGAAAAUUUUUCCUUCCCUCUCUUGUGGGGUUUCUGUUGUUUUGAAUCUGAUGACAGGAGAAGAGUUCCAAGUCAGCAAGAAGCAGAGGAAAGUGAGAAAUGCUUGGGAAAAUGGAAACGUUACUGAGGUUUUAGGCAAAGGAUACGAUCUAGGACAGCAGAAUGAAAGAUCUAUAACUAGCAAUUUGUACAAUUAUGAUUGUAUUAAAACUGAUUUUGUUACUCCCUAUAAGAAGGAUACAAAUCAAUUUAAUUACAGUACAGUCAGCAACUACUUCAACAAAAUGCUACUUAAUUUAUUUUUAAAGAAAACCUCUUGUAUAGGAAUUUUUUAGCAGUUUGCAAAGUUAUUUAUUUACUUAUUGGAUGAGAAGGUUUUGAACUCCCUAAGCAUUUAACCAGAAAACAUGAGUCCUCUGUAUUUCUUGGCUACCUCAUUCUCUUCCAGAUGCAUUAUAACCGUGGUGUGUCAGAAGACAGUGAUGGAUUAGUAGGAUAGUAGGAGAUGGAUGGUAGUUCAUAAAUAGAAGUAAAUGAGAUCUCUUUGAACAAACUGUGCAUUAAAUGCUAACGUGUGGUGAUCAUAUGCAUGUUUGCAGAUAACUAA
This is a long non-coding RNA of Rhea pennata, 1101 nucleotides long. RefSeq lists it as uncharacterized. The record is from RefSeq and is a predicted model, not a curated record. The transcript has 4 exons. NCBI's taxonomy places the organism in Eukaryota, Metazoa, Chordata, Aves, Rheiformes, Rheidae.